Molecule: ribosomal RNA, 253 nt
Filed under: uncultured bacterium
Lineage: Bacteria
Description: partial 16S ribosomal RNA
Rfam family: Bacterial small subunit ribosomal RNA
Source: RNAcentral
UACAGAGGUCUCAAGCGUUGUUCGGAUUCAUUGGGCGUAAAGGGUGCGUAGGUGGCGCCGUAAGUCAGGUGUGAAAUUUCGGAGCUUAACUCCGAAACUGCAUUUGAUACUGCGGUGCUUGAGGACUGGAGAGGAGACUGGAAUUUACGGUGUAGCAGUGAAAUGCGCAGAUAUCAGGAGGAACACCCGUGGCGAAAGCGGCUCUCUGGGACGGUACUGACGCUGAGACGCGAAAGCGUGGGGAGCAAACAGG